RNAcentral lists this ribosomal RNA (258 nucleotides) under uncultured bacterium. Its description in RNAcentral is "partial 16S ribosomal RNA". It matches the Rfam family "Bacterial small subunit ribosomal RNA", at positions 524 to 776 of the family's 1533-position model. The record is from RNAcentral.
UACGUAGGGUGCAAGCGUUGUCCGGAAUUAUUGGGCGUAAAGAGCUCGUAGGCGGUGUGUCACGUCGGCCGUGAAAACCUGCAGCUUAACUGUGGGCGUGCGGUCGAUACGGGCAUCACUGGAGUUCGGCAGGGGAGACUGGAAUUCCUGGUGUAGCGGUGAAAUGCGCAGAUAUCAGGAGGAACACCGGUGGCGAAGGCGGGGUCUCUGGGGCCGAUACUGACGCUGAGGAGCGAAAAGCGUGGGGGAGCAAACAGG